UCUCCGUAGGUGAACCUGCGGAGGGAUCAUUACAGAGUUCAUGCCCUACCGGGUAGAUCUCCCACCCUAUGUUAUUAUUACUUUGUUGCUUUGGCGGGCCGUUAGGCUCCGGCCCGACUACCGGCCCCGGCUGGUAAGCGCCCGCCAGAGGACCCAAAACCCUGAAUAUUAGUGUCGUCUGAGUACUAUUUAAUAGUUAAAACUUUCAACAACGGAUCUCUUGGUUCUG
This 229-nucleotide unclassified non-coding RNA is filed under the name plant metagenome. RNAcentral describes it as "partial contains small subunit ribosomal RNA, internal transcribed spacer 1, and 5.8S ribosomal RNA". The record is from RNAcentral.